Molecule: transfer RNA, 74 nt
Filed under: Alligator mississippiensis (American alligator)
Lineage: Eukaryota; Metazoa; Chordata; Crocodylia; Alligatoridae
Rfam family: tRNA
About the family: Transfer RNA (tRNA) molecules are approximately 80 nucleotides in length. Their secondary structure includes four short double-helical elements and three loops (D, anti-codon, and T loops).
Source: Rfam by way of RNAcentral
GGUGCCAUGUCUUAGUUUUUUUAAGGACUUGUCUAGUAAAUGGGAGUGUCUGGGUUCAAAUCCCAGUGGUGCCU